AAGUCGUAACAAGGUAACCGUAGGUGAACCUGCGGUUGGAUCAUUACUGUAAAAUGAUGAGGUUUGGAGGGGGGAUUGGGUUCAACUUUUUGGGUUGGGUCCAGGCCCUUGACAACCACCUCAAUACCAACCUAUCUGUGCACACACAAACUCUGCCCGUCAUCUCUUGUGGGUGAUGGACAGAAAAACCUAAGAGUUUUCUAUGAUUUGUCUGAACAGUAUGCUUUGUAUGUAUAAUGCAAUUAAACAACUUUUGGCAACGGAUCUCUUGGCUCUC
Molecule: unclassified non-coding RNA, 277 nt
Filed under: fungal sp.
Lineage: Eukaryota; Fungi
Description: partial internal transcribed spacer region
Rfam family: Eukaryotic small subunit ribosomal RNA (bases 1-46)
Source: RNAcentral